UACGUCGAUCGAUUGUUCUUA
Molecule: microRNA, 21 nt
Filed under: Nicotiana tabacum (common tobacco)
Lineage: Eukaryota; Viridiplantae; Streptophyta; Magnoliopsida; Solanales; Solanaceae
Description: nta-miR6148a
Source: miRBase by way of RNAcentral